Molecule: small RNA, 335 nt
Filed under: Histoplasma capsulatum
Lineage: Eukaryota; Fungi; Ascomycota; Eurotiomycetes; Onygenales; Ajellomycetaceae
Also listed under: 1 other name
Description: hypothetical RNA
Source: RNAcentral
UUGGCCAGAGCUGGGCAUUGUCUAGAGAAGAGAAGAGAUAGGUAAUAUCGUUAAUCAUACGAGUUCAAAAUAGAACUAGUGGGGUAACGAUUUUUGGUAAUAGUUACUCAUCAUAGAAUUCAACCACUAGGUCAUAUUAUAUACGUAGGUCAUGGUGUCCCAUUUGGCGCCAUUCUAGAAAUGGGAUCAGAACAGAACCAGGACUAGAUAUCUUUUUACAAAACAUGAUCUGAGGCUUAAUCUUUAUUAUAUAAAUAGUGCAAUGGGACUAGAACUAGUAUUUUAAGGGUGUAAAGUGACUGACAAUAUAUGGGACCAGGACUGAGAUAUUUGAG